AGAGUUUGAUCCUGGCUCAGAACGAACGCUGGUAGCGUGGAUUAGGCAUGCAAGUCGAACGGGAUCACGAGGAUAGCAAUAUUCUUGUGUGAGAGUGGCGGAUUGGGGAGGAACACGUGAACAACCUGCCCUUGAGUUCGGGAAAACCAUUGGAAACGAUGGCUAAUACCGGAUGUGGCGUCGGUGGACAUCCACUGAACGCUAAAGGGGGCCGCAAGGCUCCCGCUCAUCGAGGGGUUCGCGCACCAUCAGCUUGUUGGCGGGGUAACGGCCCACCAAGGCCUACGGUUAGCUGGUCUGAGAGGAUGACCAGCCCCACUGGGACUGAGAUACUGCCCAGACUCCUACGGGAGGCUGCAGUCGAGGAUCAUUUGCAAUGGGCGAAAGCCUGACAAUGCGACGCUGCGUGGAGGAUGAAGGCCUUCGGGUUGUAAACUCCUGUCAUAGGGGAACAGGCGAUCUUACCUAAUACGUAAGCGAGUUGAGUGUACCCUAAGAGGAAUUGGCGGCUAACUCUGUGCCAGCAGCCGCGGUAAUACAGAGGCCAAGAGCGUUGUUCGGAUUUACUGGGCGUAAAGGGCGCGUAGGCGGUCUUGCGUGUCAAGUGUGAAAUCUCCGGGCCCAACCCGGAAAGUGCGCUUGAAACUACAGGACUCGAGUCUGGGAGAGGGAAUCGGAAUGCAGGGUGUAGCGGUGAAAUGCGUUGAUAUCCUAUAGAACACCGGAGGCGAAGGCGGAUUCCUUGAACAGUACUGACGCUGAGGCGCGAAAGUCGGGGGAGCAAACAGGAUUAGAUACCCUGGUAGUCCCGACCUUAAACGGUGCAC
This 827-nucleotide ribosomal RNA is filed under the name uncultured bacterium. RNAcentral describes it as "bacterial SSU rRNA". It matches the Rfam family "Bacterial small subunit ribosomal RNA", at positions 8 to 814 of the family's 1533-position model. The record is from RNAcentral.